CCGGCACGGGUGAGUAACACGUAUGCAACCCACCUGUAACAGGGGGAUAACCCGGAGAAAUCCGGACUAAUACCCCAUAAUAUGGGCGCUCCGCAUGGAGAGUUCAUUAAAGAGAGCAAUUUUGGUUACAGACGAGCAUGCGCUCCAUUAGCCAGUUGGCGGGGUAACGGCCCACCAAGGCGACGAUGGAUAGGGGUUCUGAGAGGAAGGUCCCCCACAUUGGAACUGAGACACGGUCCAA
This 241-nucleotide ribosomal RNA is filed under the name uncultured bacterium. Its description in RNAcentral is "partial 16S ribosomal RNA". It matches the Rfam family "Bacterial small subunit ribosomal RNA", at positions 100 to 334 of the family's 1533-position model. The record is from RNAcentral.